CCAGAGGGGCCCCAGAGCACAAGGUGAACCCCAGCUCUGCUCCUUUCUGGCUCAAAGGGGCCAAGGCUGGAGCCACGCUCAGGGGACAUGAGAGUGAAGAGGUUUUUUUCUAGGAGGAAAAGCCCAGGCAAGAGUUGGAUAGGAGAACAAAGGUGAGGGCUUCUUGUGCCUAAGACUUGUAUCAAAGUCAGGCGACAUAUUUUUCCUGAUUCCAAAAAUUAUUAAGUUUAUGUAUGCUUCAUCCAAGGUAUUUGGGGGAAUGCAGAGAUGAAAAGGUGUGUCCAGCUUUCAGAAGUUAAGAAUCUGCCUUCCAGUGUGGGGCACUUGGAUUUGAUUCCUGGUCAGGAACUAAGAUCUCACAUGCCUGGGGCAACUAAACCCGCAUGUGCAGGCACGGGCAGCAACAGAAGACCAAAUACCGCAGCAAAAGAUCCCACGAGCCGUGACUAAGAAGCCAUGCAGCCGGUGUACGGUUACCGUCUGUUUUCUCCACUAGAUGACAAGCCGCAGGAUGACAGGGACCAGCUCGGGCUGGACCCUAGUGCCGUCGAAGACUGGCGCACACAGCAGCACGCCAGGCCUCCCUGUCCAUCACCAACUCCCAGAGUGCACUCAAACUCACGUCCUUCGAGUCGGUGAUGCCAUCCAGCCAUCUCAUCCUCUGUCCCCUUCUCCUCCUGCCCCCAAUCCCUCCCAGCAUCAGAGUCUUUUCCAAUGAGUCA
This is a long non-coding RNA of Bos taurus (domestic cattle), 722 nucleotides long. The record is from Ensembl. Lineage: Eukaryota; Metazoa; Chordata; Mammalia; Artiodactyla; Bovidae.